UACAGAGAGUGCAAGCGUUAAUCGGAAUUACUGGGCGUAAAGCGCGUGUAGGUGGAUAUUUAAGUCGGAUGUGAAAUCCCCAGGCUUAACUUGGGAACUGCAUUCGAUACUGGCUAUCUAGAGUACAGUAGAGGGAAGUGGAAUUUCCGGUGUAGCGGUGAAAUGCGUAGAUAUCGGAAAGAACACCAAUGGCGAAGGCAACUUCCUGGACUAAUACUGACACUGAGGCGCGAAAGCGUGGGGAG
This 245-nucleotide ribosomal RNA is filed under the name uncultured Coxiella sp. RNAcentral's name for it is "partial 16S ribosomal RNA". It matches the Rfam family "Bacterial small subunit ribosomal RNA", at positions 524 to 768 of the family's 1533-position model. The record is from RNAcentral. Lineage: Bacteria; Pseudomonadati; Pseudomonadota; Gammaproteobacteria; Legionellales; Coxiellaceae.